AAUAAUUUUUCGUGGCGUACGGGUGAGUAAUACACAGGAAUCUGCCUUUUAGUUCAGGAUAAAAUUCUGAAUAACAAAAGAAAACUUUUCGCUAAAAGAUGAGCCUGUGUAGGAUUAGGUAGUUGGUAUUUGGGUAAAGGCCUACCAAGCCUAUGAUCCUUAGCUGUUCUGAGAGGUUGUACAGCCACACUGGGACUGAGACAAGGCCCAGGCUUCAUUUGGAGCCAGCAGUGAGGAAUUUUGGACAAUGAGCGAAAGCUUGAUCCAGCAAUACUACAUGAGUGAUGAAGGCUUUCAAGUUGUAAAACUCUUUGGUUGAGGAGGAUAAUGACAGUACUCAACAAAAUAGCCCCGGCUAACUUCGUGCCAGCAGCCGCGGUAAUACGAAGGGGGCGAGCGUUAUCCGGAAUGACUGGGCGUAAAGGGUCCGUAGGCAGCAUUUUUUGUUAGAGGUUAAAUAAAAAAGCUUAACUUUUUUCCGCUUCUAAAACGUAAAUGCUUUGAGUUUGAUAGGAGAUAGCAGAAUUUCACAUGGAGGGGUGAUAUCCGUAGAUAUGUGAAGGAAUACCAGAGGCGAAGGCGGCUAUCUAGAUCAAUACUGACGUUGAGGGACGAAAGCAUGGGGAGCAAACAGGAUUAGAUACCCUGGUAGUCCAUGCCCUAAAAGAUGAGUGCUCGUGCUUAGAUAUUUUUAGGCACUUAGUUAACACGUUAAGCACUCCGCCUGGGGAGUACGACCGCAAGGUUGGAACUCAAAGGAAUUGACGGGGGCCUAUACAAGUGGUGGAGCAUGUGGUUUAAUGCGACAAUACGCGCGAAACCUUACCAGUUCUUGACAUAAAAAAGAAAAAGUUUGAAAGGACAAUUUUGAAGAUUUUUACAGGUGCUGCCUGGCUGUCGUCAGCUCGUGUCGUGAGAUGUUAGGUUAACUCCUUUUAACGGGCGAAACCCCUUUUCUUAGU
Molecule: ribosomal RNA, 962 nt
Filed under: uncultured eukaryote
Lineage: Eukaryota
Description: bacterial SSU rRNA
Rfam family: Bacterial small subunit ribosomal RNA
Source: RNAcentral